UUGGGGGAAUGUAUAGUGCUCUCAUGAGCCUAGUUGUGUUUUGAAUGAGGGUCAACCGUUAUAAAAUAAACAUAACACCAACUACGUUGGAUAAAAUUCUAGAUAGAAUACUGAUUAUGACUAUUUUCUAUCUAAAUGUCUUGACCAAAUUACGUGCCAGCAGUCGCGGUAAUACGUAGAAGACUAGGGUUAUUCAUCUCUAAUAGGUUUAAAGGGUACCUAGACGGUAUAAUUAACCCAAAACAGGGAUUUUUUGUUACUAGAGUUAAAUGUAAGAAGGGAGAACUCAGGGAGGAGAGAUAAAAUUCGGUGAUCCCCUGAGGACUGGUAAGGGCGAAGGCACCCUUCUAUGUAAUAACUGACGUUAGGGGACGAAGGCGUGGGUAGCGAAUAGGAUUAGAGACCCUAGUAGUCCACGCAGUAAAUGAUGAAUGCCAUAGACUAGAAAUAAUUUAGUUUAUAAAUGAAAGUGUAAGCAUUCCACCUCAAGAGUACUGUGGCAACGCUGGAACUGAAAUCAUUAGACCGCUUCUGAGAACAGUAGUGAAGUAUGUUAUAUAAUUCGAUGGCCCUCGUAAAACCUUACCACAACUUGAAUGGUGUCUUGCUGCAGCAGGAGCAGCAGCAGCUGCUGCUCCUCUGCAAAGGAUGUUACAGGUGUUGCACGGUUGUCAUGAGCUAAUGUCGUGAGAUUGUGGUUAGUUCCAUAAAAUUAGCGUAAACCCCGGUUUUAUUUUUUAAUUAUUAUGAUAAAACAGUUCGUCAGUAUAUCGAUAUAUGAUAA
This 784-nucleotide ribosomal RNA is filed under the name Rhytisma acerinum. Its description in RNAcentral is "mitochondrial SSU rRNA". It matches the Rfam family "Bacterial small subunit ribosomal RNA", at positions 1 to 1161 of the family's 1533-position model. The record is from RNAcentral. Lineage: Eukaryota; Fungi; Ascomycota; Leotiomycetes; Rhytismatales; Rhytismataceae.